AAAAGGCGGCGUAAGCUGUCGCUAAAGGAUGGACCCGCGGUGCAUUAGCUAGUUGGUAAGGUAACGGCUUACCAAGGCGACGAUGCAUAGCCGAGUUGAGAGACUGAUCGGCCACAUUGGGACUGAGACACGGCCCAAACUCCUACGGGAGGCAGCAGUAGGGAAUCUUCCACAAUGGGCGAAAGCCUGAUGGAGCAACGCCGCGUGAGUGAAGAAGGUUUUCGGAUCGUAAAGCUCUGUUGUUGGUGAAGAAGGAUAGAGGUAGUAACUGGCCCCUAUUUGACGGUAAUCAACCAGAAAGUCACGGCUAACUACGUGCCAGCAGCCGCGGUAAUACGUAGGUGGCAAGCGUUGUCCGGAUUUAUUGGGCGUAAAGCGAGCGCAGGCGGAAAGAUAAGUCUGAUGUGAAAGCCCCCGGCUUAACCGAGGAAUUGCAUCGGAAACUGUGUUUCUUGAGUGCAGAAGAGGAGAGUGGAACUUCAUGUGUAGCGGUGGAAUGCGUAGAUAUAUGGAAGAACACCAGUGGCGAAGGCGGCUCUCUGGUCUGUAACUGACGCUGAGGCUCGAAAGCAUGGGUAGCGAACAGGAUUAGAUACCCUGGUAGUCCAUGCCGUAAACGAUGAGUGCUAAGUGUUGGGAGGUUUCCGCCUCUCA
Molecule: ribosomal RNA, 654 nt
Filed under: uncultured bacterium
Lineage: Bacteria
Description: bacterial SSU rRNA
Rfam family: Bacterial small subunit ribosomal RNA
Source: RNAcentral